UACUACAGCCAUGCCACCCUGAACAUGUCUGAUCUUGUCUGACCUUGGAAGCUAAGCAGGGUCAGGCCUGGUUAGUACUUGGAUAGGAGACCACCUAGGAAGACCAGGUGCUGUAGGCA
This 119-nucleotide ribosomal RNA is filed under the name Pteropus alecto (black flying fox). The record is from RNAcentral. Lineage: Eukaryota; Metazoa; Chordata; Mammalia; Chiroptera; Pteropodidae.